Pelobates cultripes (western spadefoot toad) is the source of this 405-nucleotide non-coding RNA. The record is from the annotation of a GenBank genome assembly. Lineage: Eukaryota; Metazoa; Chordata; Amphibia; Anura; Pelobatidae.
CCCAUAUCAGGGGAUGGUUUAUUGUGUUUUAUUAUCAUCAAACACGCAAAGCAUGACAGUCGUGCAGAAUGUGUGCAUUACAGGAACAGGCGUUGCUAAGAUGGACUUUGGGGACUGAAACCCCAGAUGUGGGUUCUUUAACCCCGAAUCACUGCAGCUGGUGGAGGGGGUAGGAGGACAUGUGAGUUUUUUCAUUCUACACGAGGAACAGACAGACGUUUCACAGAGCAGCCACCAAUUAUAAAAGAUCAGGAGUAUAGAGCUCCUCCAGGUGCCCCUCAGGUGAUUGUCAGAAGCACGCCGAUCUAUUUAUUAGAUAGCGUGGUUGGAUCACAUUGAAUGGCUGGGAAGCAGGUGCUUUCUUUGACAUCCUGGAGAGAUGCAGCCGCAGGCUGUUCAUGGGUG